ACAGAAGAGUAGAAUAUAGUUUAGAUUCGUUCCUUUGAGCUCUGAAGGCUGCAUAUGUAUGCCAGUUGGGACAGCUUAAGUUAUGUUGGUUAAAAAAAAAUUCAGGAGCUUCCUAUAACAAAGUCUUAUUCUCAUUUAUCUUACAUGUUAUUCACAGGCCAGCUGGGGGCUCUACUCAGUGUUGUCGUCACUCCAGGACCCCAACUGAUAUGAGAAUCUGCCAUCUGGAUUACUGCAGGUUGUCAAAGCAGAGGGAAAGAGAACUCUAGCAAUUAAAAUGCUUCAGCCUAGAAGUGACACAUGGUAAUUCUGCACAUAACUCAUUGACCAGAAUGAUCACAUGGUUCCUACCCAACCAUAAGGAGGCCAAGGAGUGCAAACCUACUGCGUGCCAAGCAGGUGGCAAGUUAGAAAUAUAUGGGAGAAGACUCCCACAUUGGUUUCCAGAAGCCCAAGAGACACCCAAGUUGAAUUCAACACAAACAGUCGCUGAGCAAUUCCUGUGGACAAACUGCUGUGCUUUGGAUGGUAAAAGACCCUGACUUCAGGCACCUUGCAUUCCAGCAAGGAAAUAACCAUGAAGCUCCUUACAACAAAACACUGGCCUGCACAGGGAGAGACGGAGGAGAACCACAUGUCCAGAGAGUCUGGGAAAGGCAGAGCCGAGAGCCUUUUAAAGAAUAGAAGCAGGAGGGUGGACGAUGGUGGAAGACAGAGGCGUAGACAAAGACUGAGCGUGGAGAUCUUCAGGAAAAGAUGGCUGAGAGCACAAAGAAAGAGAUGAAGUCACAGCUGGAAGAGGAGCUGUUCAGAGGUGAGGGGGAGGAGUGGCCGUGGAAUGGGCAAGGUUGAUGGGACAAGAGAGAGCAUCAUCGAUGGCGCACAGGCCCAAAAGAGGCUGGUGAGGCAGGGAGGAAGUCAGGCUGGCUACGGAGGGAGACACCUGGUUUGAAGAAAUAAGAAAACAUCUUAUUUCAAGGGCAAAGAAAAGGAAGAUUGGUGUGUGGUCAUGGGAGAAACUGGGAGAUAGAAGGGAGCUCUAUUGGCUCCAUCUUUGAGAUGAAUCAGAAGUGAUGUCACCUGCUAAAGGAUGAAUUUGUUUGAGAUCUUAAGAAUGC
RNAcentral lists this long non-coding RNA (1118 nucleotides) under Mustela putorius furo (domestic ferret). RNAcentral describes it as "lncRNA (ENSMPUG00000024970.1)". The record is from RNAcentral. Lineage: Eukaryota; Metazoa; Chordata; Mammalia; Carnivora; Mustelidae.